Molecule: ribosomal RNA, 216 nt
Filed under: Campeiostachys nutans
Lineage: Eukaryota; Viridiplantae; Streptophyta; Magnoliopsida; Poales; Poaceae
Description: Elymus nutans partial small subunit ribosomal RNA
Rfam family: Eukaryotic small subunit ribosomal RNA
Source: RNAcentral
GGGUUAGUAGGUUGGUCAUGCCUCUGGUAUGUACUGAUCUCACUGAUUCCUCCUUCCUGAUGAGCCGUAAUGCCAUUAAUUUGGUGUUGCGGGGAAUUUGGACUGUUACUUUGAAAAAAUUAGAGUGUUUAAAGCAAGCUAACGCUUGAAUACAUUAGCAUGGAAUAAUGAAAUAGGACGUUCGAUCCUAUUUUGUUGGUUUCUGGGACCGUAGCA